RNAcentral lists this microRNA precursor (138 nucleotides) under Haemonchus contortus (barber pole worm). Its description in RNAcentral is "microRNA hco-mir-5892b precursor". The stretch from base 11 to 100 matches the Rfam family "mir-5892 microRNA precursor family". The record is from miRBase by way of RNAcentral. Lineage: Eukaryota; Metazoa; Nematoda; Chromadorea; Rhabditida; Trichostrongylidae.
CGAGCCUUCCGGUCCUGAAGUUUGCUCAGAUGAUCCAGAUGUUAGUCGCCCGCAUGGAAAGCAAUUAACAUUUGGAUCAUCUGAGCGAUAUUCGAGGAUGCUAUUCGAAGCCUGUACUCCUUAUUCCAUCUACUGCAC